AGUUGGGAAACAGCCCUGUUGUGGUUGGGCUCGCCCCCUCCUCUUCCUUGCCAGGUGUUCACCAUGGCAACCUUCCUUCCAAACAAGAGGCACAGAGAGCAUCAGCAUCUGGUGCUGGGAGCCAGGGAAGCCUAAGGGGAAUGGAGAUGGGGAAACAGCCACUCUUCUCUUCUUGUAGGACAAGGUCCAGGCCUGGCUUUGACCCAUGUUUACAGUCACUUUCCAUGACCUGCACUUAACGCACUUCUCCCAGAGUUCACCUGCAUCUGGACUCACGUGGGCAUCGAUGAUGAGGCUCUAUGCAAGGCCCCUCGGAGUAAGGCGGGUCUCGAGAAAUGCUUGAUUAGGUGUUUCCUGAGGGGCCUGCCUGAGUGGGACGACAAGCUGGCAGCUCGCCUGGAAGAUUCUGAGAAGCAGCAGGAGUGACUGAGGCCAUCGUCAGAUGCAGAAACAGGAGCCCAGUGAAGUCAAACAAUUUGCCCAGGGACAACCAGUAAGCAAGGAAAAGAAGUGAGCAAGAAUGAGGUCUUCCAAUCCUGGCUUCCAGCUUUGGAUGCCUUUCUCUGUCAGCAGACUCAAGUGGGAAGAGAUUGGUUCAAAGGAGCCCAGCUCAGAAAAGGAAGAGUGGAUCAAGACAGAAGCUAAGACCCUUCAACUCCAAAGCCUGGCUUCUGUCACUGUCACGGAAGUUGAGUCUUCAUUACUCAGAGAUCUCAGUUCUCAGGAACAAUGACUGAGCAGAAAGACAGACUUAGAACUCCACAGCCAAAGCCCAAGAGAUCACAGGGGAAGCCCAGACAAGCUGGGGCAAGAACCAGCAGGGCUGUGGAGCCAGGACUGGAGCUGCAGCUGGGCCACUGGGCACCAGCCCUCAUGGGGCAAGGACCCCAGAACCACCAUGUGUGUUGAAUAGUCACCUGUGGAAGGGCGGAAGAGCUGAGAGUCGGGACAAUAUGUAAACCUUGC
This is a long non-coding RNA of Mesocricetus auratus (golden hamster), 966 nucleotides long. RefSeq lists it as uncharacterized. NCBI's taxonomy places the organism in Eukaryota, Metazoa, Chordata, Mammalia, Rodentia, Cricetidae. The record is from RefSeq and is a predicted model, not a curated record. The transcript is spliced from 4 exons.